Carassius carassius (crucian carp) is the source of this 1414-nucleotide long non-coding RNA. RefSeq lists it as uncharacterized. The record is from RefSeq and is a predicted model, not a curated record. The transcript has 5 exons. Lineage: Eukaryota; Metazoa; Chordata; Actinopteri; Cypriniformes; Cyprinidae.
CUGAAAAUUAAGCUAAACUGCAAAUCGGACUUCCCAUGGCUCUCUGCCUUUUUCUGUAAUCUCUUUCUCUCUGCUCCGGUGAUAUUAGCCGGUAUGUUAGCCGAAUUUAAGAGAUUAGUUUGAGUUAAGAGCUUAGAGUAAGCUUAGAUGCAACACUUCACCUUUCUUUCCAUUUGUCUCGCUCCGUCUCUCUGCUGGAUACCAGGUUCUUGAAAAAAGCCUUUAAAGAAUACAGUUCCUAAUGAAAUAGUUUUUCUACAUUAUUCACAUAAUUAUGAGUUCUACAAUAUGAGACAACAGAACAAGGAAUUGCUGUUUAGAAAAUGAGUGUAAGGCAUUCAAAAGAGGAGAACUGAAGGGAUAUAGACUAACUCUGUACUGGAGAAGAAUUCCUGCCAUUAAAACGACAUGAAACUAGUUCUGCUGCUGCUGCUUCUGGGGUCCUUGCAAGCGGUGUUCACUCAAGUGGCUAUGCCUGCAUUUACUGAAAGAACAGCUGUGAAGGAAGGUCUAGGAAGUGGUCUGUAAGAGGUGGAACAGGAGUAUGAACUAGCAGAGACGUACUGGUCUGGGACAGCCCCCCUUUGUUUCGGAGGUUGUAAAGGCAGACAGAGGGAGCUGAAAAGAGACAACUGUGGAGAUUCUGACUGCUGCUGGGUGGGAUUUAAAUCCCUGUGUAGAGUUAAUUGUGGAAAGCCUGAUGUGGACUUUAAUGGGAUGGUGUAUGGGAGUGAUUGGUGGGUGGGUUCUGUAGUGCGGUACGACUGCAGACCAGGGUUCGUGUUGGUGGGAGAUCCUGCUCGAGCCUGUCAGUCCAAUGGGAUAUGGACGCCCAAACCAUCCUGUCUUAGAGUGUGUUAUCGUGGCCGGGUUGAGAUCAAUGAGAAGGACAUCGACGGGACAUGUUCGUCUACCUGUCCUGAUGCUAAAAGCUAUGCAGUCCCUCUGAACCACAAAUGCAGCCGUAUUGAGAACUGCAGAACUAAAGAAUCAGGCUGGAAGCACUGGUUUACAUGCUGCAAUUAAUGCGACUGUGACUGCUUCACUCCCUGUGCUUUACAGGAUAGAAGACAGUGAAUCUGUAUUCAUUAUCCUCUGGAAACAACAGAAUUAAUUUUUAUUUGAAUGUAAAGAGAGAGGCUUGACAUGUAACCAUAACAGAACUUGUCAAACUAAAAGCAUUUUAUGCAUCUCUAGAUUCUAAAUAUCUUCACAGUUGGAGACCUUUAUUUUAAUCACUGACUACAUAACCCCAGAUGUUCGGAAAUGUUACUGUUUUCCCUUAUCUGUGUUAAGUAGCACAGAUGUUUAAUGUAUAUUUGAUUUUGAAGUAAGUUAGUCGCUGUGGAAAGAUCAGAGAAACAUUUCUGUUCCAGUAUUAAACUAUUGUAGAUCUAAUGAAAUUAUUAGUUUA